UACGAAGGGGCUAGCGUUGCUCGGAAUCACUGGGCGUAAAGGGUGCGUAGGCGGGUCUUUAAGUCAGGGGUGAAAUCCUGGAGCUCAACUCCCAGAACUGCCUUUGAUACUGAAGAUCUUGAGUUCGGGAGAGGUGAGUGGAACUGCGAGUGUAGAGGUGAAAUUCGUAGAUAUUCGCAAGAACACCAGUGGCGAAGGCGGCUCACUGGCCCGAUACUGACGCUGAUGCACGAAAGCGUGGGGAGCAAACAGG
Molecule: ribosomal RNA, 253 nt
Filed under: uncultured bacterium
Lineage: Bacteria
Description: partial 16S ribosomal RNA
Rfam family: Bacterial small subunit ribosomal RNA
Source: RNAcentral